UGCCGCGGCGCUGCCGCGAGGCGGCGCUGGGGGAACCCAGCUGGGCCCGGCCCGCUCCCUCAAGUUCGCGCCGUGGGUUUUCCUCUUUGCCGUGACGGUGCUGAGGGGUGCGUUCGGGAGUCGCUCCCAUCUCCCCACACAGUGCUGCUGCUGCUAAAACGCUGCGCACCAGGAGAGCAGGAAAAAACAUCGCAGGGAAACAAACGAGCCUCUGUAUCCAGGAGUCCCUUGCACGGGCAAAAGGUUCAAGGAUGCCUGAGCAAAACCCAGGACAGCCCUAGAGCUCCCUCAGUUCAAUGCUGCCUGAGCAUCCUCAGCGCCUUCCAGGCGCUUAAAUCCAAAUCUUCGGGACCAAUCCUGCAUUCAUAAAGCAUCGAGCUGAAGCUUUGAUGGCAAGGUGGAACAUCUUUGGACAAAGAGAAGCACAGCCAGCCUCUGAAAAGCAGACCCUUUUGGAUAAAUUGACCUGGAUAAAACAACAAGGACAAGAUAGCAUUCAACUCAGUGUGCUGAAAGAGCAAAUAUGAAAUUUCUGAGCUACCAAAGCAGAACUUACACCAGCCACCACCUCAAGGAACAAAGAUUUCAUGACCACAUUUGAGGACAUAUCUGACAUAGAGCCAAAAGUGAAAGACUUUGAGAUUUCCCAGGAGUGAGACAAAUACCCAUCCUCAGCCCCAUGAGCCUUCUGAUACUGCAAUGAAGUGUUUUUGGUAGGAAAACUUUGGUUGCUUUCUGUUCCAAACAGCACAGCUUUGAUAAAUGCAGCAGGAUUGAUCUGCGCUGUGUGUCCCUUAACUGAGUUACCAUGUAUAAUCCUCUCUGGAACAGAACAUUUACAUUCCACUGACCUAGUUGAAAAAAUGCAUUAAUUUUAAUUUAUGCAAAAUUCUCCCAAUAGAAGAGUGAGAGGAGAGAGGCGAUUUUUUAUUUGCAGUCCUUGCCUGCUU
This is a long non-coding RNA of Pseudopipra pipra, 950 nucleotides long. RefSeq lists it as uncharacterized. NCBI's taxonomy places the organism in Eukaryota, Metazoa, Chordata, Aves, Passeriformes, Pipridae. The record is from RefSeq and is a predicted model, not a curated record. The transcript has 4 exons.